RNAcentral lists this ribosomal RNA (494 nucleotides) under uncultured bacterium. RNAcentral describes it as "partial 16S ribosomal RNA". It matches the Rfam family "Bacterial small subunit ribosomal RNA", at positions 28 to 507 of the family's 1533-position model. The record is from RNAcentral.
GACGAACGCUGGCGGCGCGCUUAACACAUGCAAGUCGAACGGAAAGGCCUGCUUUCCCUUGUGGAUUGCGGGUACUCGAGUGGCGAACGGGUGAGUAACACGUGAGUGAUCUUCCCCCAACUUGGGUAUAAGCCUGGGAAACUGGGUCUAAUUCCCGAUAGGACUGCAGGGUGGUGCCUGUGGUGGAACACGAUUUUCUAGUGGUUGGGGAUGAGCUCGCGGCCUAUCAGCUUGUUGGUGGGGUACUGGCCUACCAAGGCGGCGACGGGUAGCCGGACUGAGAGGGUGGACGGUGGCAUUGGGACUGGGUCACGGCCCAGACUCCUACGGGCGGCAGCAGUGGGGAAUAGUGGACAAUGGGCGGAAGCCUGCUACAGCGACGCCGCGUGGGGGAUGACGGCGUUCGGGUUGUAAACUCCUUUCGAAGGCGAGGAAGCCACCUGGUUGGAAGGGUGGUGACGGUAGUGGUAGAAGAAGCACCGGCUAACUACGUG